UACGAAGGGGGCUAGCGUUGUUCGGAAUCACUGGGCGUAAAGGGCGCGUAGGCGGCUUUGUAAGUCGGGGGUGAAAGCCUGUGGCUCAACCACAGAAUUGCCUUCGAUACUGCAUGGCUUGAGACCGGAAGAGGUAAGUGGAACUGCGAGUGUAGAGGUGAAAUUCGUAGAUAUUCGCAAGAACACCAGUGGCGAAGGCGGCUUACUGGUCCGGUUCUGACGCUGAGGCGCGAAAGCGUGGGGGAGCAAACAGG
This 254-nucleotide ribosomal RNA is filed under the name uncultured bacterium. RNAcentral's name for it is "partial 16S ribosomal RNA". It matches the Rfam family "Bacterial small subunit ribosomal RNA", at positions 524 to 776 of the family's 1533-position model. The record is from RNAcentral.